RNAcentral lists this transfer RNA (72 nucleotides) under Camelus bactrianus (Bactrian camel). It matches the Rfam family "tRNA". Rfam says of the family: Transfer RNA (tRNA) molecules are approximately 80 nucleotides in length. Their secondary structure includes four short double-helical elements and three loops (D, anti-codon, and T loops). Lineage: Eukaryota; Metazoa; Chordata; Mammalia; Artiodactyla; Camelidae. RNAcentral also lists the same sequence under 1 other name. The record is from Rfam by way of RNAcentral.
GAAGGCAGAGGUCAGCGGUAGAGCCCGUGCUUAGCAUGCAUGAGGUCCUGGGUUCAAUCCCCAGUACCUCCA